Molecule: ribosomal RNA, 378 nt
Filed under: uncultured bacterium
Lineage: Bacteria
Description: bacterial SSU rRNA
Rfam family: Bacterial small subunit ribosomal RNA
Source: RNAcentral
AUACGUAGGGUGCGAGCGUUGUCCGGAAUUACUGGGCGUAAAGAGCUCGUAGGCGGUUUGUCGCGUCGUCUGUGAAAUCCCGCAGCUCAACUGCGGGCUGGCAGGCGAUACGGGCAGACUCGAGUACUGCAGGGGAGACUGGAAUUCCUGGUGUAGCGGUGAAAUGCGCAGAUAUCAGGAGGAACACCGGUGGCGAAGGCGGGUCUCUGGGCAGUAACUGACGCUGAGGAGCGAAAGCGUGGGUAGCGAACAGGAUUAGAUACCCUGGUAGUCCACGCCGUAAACGGUGGGCGCUAGGUGUGGGUUUCCUUCCACGGGAUCCGUGCCGUAGCUAACGCAUUAAGCGCCCCGCCUGGGGAGUACGGCCGCAAGGCUAAA